This 168-nucleotide ribosomal RNA is filed under the name Photobacterium damselae. RNAcentral describes it as "partial 23S ribosomal RNA". It matches the Rfam family "Bacterial large subunit ribosomal RNA", at positions 1 to 164 of the family's 2925-position model. Lineage: Bacteria; Pseudomonadati; Pseudomonadota; Gammaproteobacteria; Vibrionales; Vibrionaceae. The record is from RNAcentral.
GUUGUAUGGUUAAGUGACUAAGCGUACACGGUGGAUGCCUAGGCAGUCAGAGGCGAUGAAGGACGUACUAACUUGCGAUAAGUGUAGAUGAGGCAGUAAGAGCCACUUGAGUCUACGAUUUCCGAAUGGGGAAACCCAACUGCAUAAGCAGUUAUCUCAAUGUGAAUU